This 54-nucleotide ribosomal RNA is filed under the name Polylepis besseri subsp. besseri. Its description in RNAcentral is "partial 18S ribosomal RNA". Lineage: Eukaryota; Viridiplantae; Streptophyta; Magnoliopsida; Rosales; Rosaceae. The record is from RNAcentral.
AGGAAGGAGAGUCGUAACAAGGCUUCCGUAGGUGAACCUACCGAAUGAUCAUUG